RNAcentral lists this long non-coding RNA (1116 nucleotides) under Apteryx haastii (Great spotted kiwi). Its description in RNAcentral is "lncRNA (ENSAHAG00000012771.1)". Lineage: Eukaryota; Metazoa; Chordata; Aves; Apterygiformes; Apterygidae. The record is from RNAcentral.
GCCCGGACCUGCAAAACCUGCAGCCCCUUCUGGGGCCCCAAAUGAGGCGAUCCGCCCCCAAACCGCGCCGGUCCCUGCCAGCGGGCACCGGCGGACGCGCCCCGGCCGCAGAGCCGCGCCGGCACCUCAUCCCGCCCGAGCCCUGCGGUUUCUCCUAAGCGCGUCUGAGCCAUUUCAGCCCCUAGAGCGGGUUAAAGGUUUAUGUUUCUGUCAGCCUCAGAACUGGCACCAGCUCAGCGCCACCUGCGGAAUUUCAUCCCAUCUUCUGAGACACAAAAGCUGCAUUAAAACAAAACGACAAAAAAAAAUUGAUAAUUUAUUAUUAAUCGGAAAUGUUCAAAUCGCAAGUUACUGAGCAACAGGGGAGUCUGGGCUCGGGCGCGCCGCAGCGGUGCUCCGGCACGUGUGCGCCAGACCGAGCGCUUGUUCCGUGCUUCGCGGCGUAGGAGUUGGGGAGGCGGCUGCAGCCGUUAGGGCACGCGGGUCCCCUCUCACGCCCAGGGGAACCGCCGCACGGCUCCUGCCCUUAAUGGCGAUACCGUGCCAACACCCUCCGCAUGCUCCUUCUCAGCCAACUGCUUUUUUUUUUUCCUCCACGUGAGACAAAUGAACAAAGAUCAGUAUCGUCCCAUGACUUGUUUUUCAAGAACGGUGUCGUAAAAAAAUAUCUGGGCCUCUGUCACUGACAAAUGCCCUCCCCAAAUCUAGUCUUAAUAGAUUUAUUUAGUUUUUCUGCAUUUCUUACCAUCUCCUCUCCCUCAACUUUCAUUUCAUGAUGUUCUUUCCUUUCUUCAGCUGUGGAGAUAAAAUAACUGGGUGAAUUCAGACCUCUCUGGGCAAGAAUCUGAUGUGAUUUUUCCAUCCCCAACUUUUGGGAGAGAUACUUAAAAUUAAUCACUUGUGUGCUAGGGUUUAGGUUUGUUUGUUUAUUUAGUACACGCCAGAUCUCGCAAAGACAGUGAGCUAUGUGCUAAUCAAACCAUCUGGCCUAUAUAAAAAAUUUAUCUUCGCUAAAUAAUUAACAACAACUAGAUGAGAAGGCUUCAUUAAGGCCAGGAAAGGAACGUCUGGUGUGGGGCCAACAGAGGAUAAAUAAAGAAGGAAGAUGAACAACCA